RNAcentral lists this non-coding RNA (213 nucleotides) under Streptomyces dysideae. RNAcentral's name for it is "Streptomyces sp. RV15 Streptomyces RNA 1601". It matches the Rfam family "Streptomyces RNA 1601". Rfam says of the family: Identified by deep sequencing of transcriptome at the end of exponential growth phase. Appears longer on northern blot than sequencing transcript. Lineage: Bacteria; Bacillati; Actinomycetota; Actinomycetes; Kitasatosporales; Streptomycetaceae. The record is from Rfam by way of RNAcentral.
AACGACCGGCUGGACAUCACUGUGUCCGGCCAACAAGUGGAGGCUCCGAUCUCCCACCUGACCGUCCCCCGGGACGGCGGGUCACCCGGGUCAGGCGGCCGCCAUCGUUCCGUACGGACGAUGGAGUCGCCCGAAAGUGCGCCCCGCGGCAUCACCGCGGCGGUGCUCCGGCAGUCUUCGGAGUCCCGCCUGUGAUCGUCCGGGGCAAUUUUU